GAGGAAGUAAAAGUCGUAACAAGGUUUCCGUAGGUGAACCUGCGGAAGGAUCAUUACCUAGAGUUGUAGGCUUUGCCUGCUAUCUCUUACCCAUGUCUUUUGAGUACCUUACGUUUCCUCGGUGGGUUCGCCCACCGAUUGGACAAAUUUAAACCCUUUGCAGUUGAAAUCAGCGUCUGAAAAAACUUAAUAGUUACAACUUUCAACAACGGAUCUCUUGGUUCUGGCAUCGAUGAAGAACGCAGCGAAAUGCGAUAAGUAGUGUGAAUUGCAGAAUUCAGUGAAUCAUCGAAUCUUUGAACGCACAUUGCGCCCCUUGGUAUUCCAUGGGGCAUGCCUGUUCGAGCGUCAUUUGUACCUUCAAGCUCUGCUUGGUGUUGGGUGUUUGUCUCCUGUAGACUCGCCUUAAAACAAUUGGCAGCCGGCGUAUUGAUUUCGGAGCGCAGUACAUCUCGCGCUUUGCACUCAUAACGACGACUCCAAAAGUACAUUUUUACACUCUUGACCUCGGAUCAGGUAGGGAUACCCGCUGAACUUAAGCAUAUCA
This 547-nucleotide ribosomal RNA is filed under the name Ampelomyces sp. C34. Its description in RNAcentral is "eukaryotic LSU rRNA". The stretch from base 198 to 351 matches the Rfam family "5.8S ribosomal RNA". The record is from RNAcentral. Lineage: Eukaryota; Fungi; Ascomycota; Dothideomycetes; Pleosporales; Phaeosphaeriaceae.